RNAcentral lists this ribosomal RNA (1115 nucleotides) under Vibrio cholerae. RNAcentral describes it as "partial 23S ribosomal RNA". It matches the Rfam family "Bacterial large subunit ribosomal RNA", at positions 49 to 1219 of the family's 2925-position model. Lineage: Bacteria; Pseudomonadati; Pseudomonadota; Gammaproteobacteria; Vibrionales; Vibrionaceae. The record is from RNAcentral.
AUGAAGGACGUACUAACUUGCGAUAAGCGCAGAUAAGGCAGUAAGAGCCGUUUGAGUCUGCGAUUUCCGAAUGGGGAAACCCAACUGCAUAAGCAGUUACUGUUAACUGAAUACAUAGGUUAACAGAGCAAACCGGGGGAACUGAAACAUCUAAGUACCCCGAGGAGAAGAAAUCAACCGAGAUUCCGGUAGUAGCGGCGAGCGAACCUGGAUUAGCCCUUAAGCACUCGGUGAAGUAGGUGAACAAGCUGGAAAGCUUGGCGAUACAGGGUGAUAGCCCCGUAACCGACGCUUCAUCGAGCGUGAAAUCGAGUAGGGCGGGACACGUGAUAUCCUGUCUGAAUAUGGGGGGACCAUCCUCCAAGGCUAAAUACUCCUGACUGACCGAUAGUGAACCAGUACCGUGAGGGAAAGGCGAAAAGAACCCCUGUGAGGGGAGUGAAAUAGAACCUGAAACCGUGUACGUACAAGCAGUAGGAGCACCUUCGUGGUGUGACUGCGUACCUUUUGUAUAAUGGGUCAGCGACUUAUAUUCAGUGGCAAGGUUAACCGUAUAGGGGAGCCGUAGCGAAAGCGAGUCUUAACUGGGCGCUCAGUCUCUGGAUAUAGACCCGAAACCGGGUGAUCUAGCCAUGGGCAGGUUGAAGGUUGAGUAACAUCAACUGGAGGACCGAACCGACUAAUGUUGAAAAAUUAGCGGAUGACUUGUGGCUAGGGGUGAAAGGCCAAUCAAACUCGGAGAUAGCUGGUUCUCCCCGAAAGCUAUUUAGGUAGCGCCUCGGACGAAUACUACUGGGGGUAGAGCACUGUUAAGGCUAGGGGGUCAUCCCGACUUACCAACCCUUUGCAAACUCCGAAUACCAGUAAGUACUAUCCGGGAGACACACGGCGGGUGCUAACGUCCGUCGUGGAGAGGGAAACAACCCAGACCGCCAGCUAAGGUCCCAAAGUAUUGCUAAGUGGGAAACGAUGUGGGAAGGCUCAGACAGCUAGGAUGUUGGCUUAGAAGCAGCCAUCAUUUAAAGAAAGCGUAAUAGCUCACUAGUCGAGUCGGCCUGCGCGGAAGAUGUAACGGGGCUAAGCAAUACACCGAAGCUGCGGCAAUGUCUUUUAGA